CAGGUUUUUAAGAAAGACAAAGCGUGUCAGCAGGAGAUGAGACAGAUGCAGAGCUACUGAAGAAACAUGUCGAAUUAUUACAUUCAAGAUGUUGUCCCAAUCGCUCUGCAAGUUGUCCGCCAUGAUUAUCAUCUGAUCGUGACACCGGCGACAUGGACAAUUUAUUGCAUGAACACGUAUGAAGACUUAGCUACAGUGCAGACUGGCGACGACGGACAAAAGUUGAACGCUGAGACGGCAAGAAAAGGUCUGACAGAAACUGGCUGGGUCGGACCGUACAACAGAGCAUACGGCUGGUCCUAUCAAGACAAACGUUGAAUUUCAGGCUAACCAUUUGGUGCCCUGGACAGCCUGAUAACGGAACGAAGCCUGUGGUGCAAGAAACUCAAGUGGAUCCUGGGGAAUCUUUAAGACCAGCAAUACUUUAAAAUGCUAGCUUCAGAGGGCUUGUUGGUGUCACUCUUCACACAGUGAGCUGGUGGGAAGGUCAGACUUACUGCCAGACAUAUCGCACAGAUUUGGCCAACGCAACCACUGAAACAGAGAACAACCAGUUACAACUAGUGACGUUACUCCAGGGGACUUCUUGGUUUUGGCCUACCUAAGCGCAGUUGGACACGGUCGGACUAGACCGCACAGAGGAGUCUCUAGUGGAGACGUGACAUUCCAAAUGAUGUCUUCUACAGAGUACAGAGUGAAGGAGCAAGUCAUGAAACUGCAGAUUCAAGUUGAUGGGAGUGCUAUUGUUCCUAAUGUUCUGUCAGCCAUUUUACAACAGGGUAAUAAGGCAAAAAAAUGCAGCUCGUCAUGUUAUCAAGAAACCACAACACCCUCGAUAAUGAAGACUCUUCCAUGGUGGAAAACUU
Molecule: long non-coding RNA, 866 nt
Organism: Ictalurus punctatus (channel catfish)
Lineage: Eukaryota; Metazoa; Chordata; Actinopteri; Siluriformes; Ictaluridae
Exons: 4
Source: RefSeq, a predicted model, not a curated record